This 118-nucleotide ribosomal RNA is filed under the name Rattus norvegicus (Norway rat). The record is from RNAcentral. Lineage: Eukaryota; Metazoa; Chordata; Mammalia; Rodentia; Muridae.
GGUUCUGGCCAUACCACUCUUAUUAUACCAGAUUUCAUUUGCUCUCAGAAGCUAAUCAGGAUUGGGUCUAGUUAGUACUUGGAUGAGAAACACCUGGAAACAUCAGGCGUUGUAGGCU